RNAcentral lists this ribosomal RNA (1446 nucleotides) under uncultured beta proteobacterium. RNAcentral describes it as "16S ribosomal RNA". It matches the Rfam family "Bacterial small subunit ribosomal RNA". The record is from RNAcentral. Lineage: Bacteria; Pseudomonadati; Pseudomonadota; Betaproteobacteria.
UGAACGCUGGCGGCAUGCCUUACACAUGCAAGUCGAACGGCAGCGCGGGAGCAAUCCUGGCGGCGAGUGGCGAACGGGUGAGUAAUACAUCGGAACGUGCCCAGUAAUGGGGGAUAGCUCGGCGAAAGCCGGAUUAAUACCGCAUACGCCCUGAGGGGGAAAGUGGGGGACCGCAAGGCCUCACGUUAUUGGAGCGGCCGAUGGCUGAUUAGCUAGUUGGUAGGGUAAAGGCCUACCAAGGCGACGAUCAGUAGCUGGUCUGAGAGGACGAUCAGCCACACUGGGACUGAGACAUGGCCCAGACUCCUACGGGAGGCAGCAGUGGGGAAUUUUGGACAAUGGGGGAAACCCUGAUCCAGCAAUGCCGCGUGUGCGAAGAAGGCCUUCGGGUUGUAAAGCACUUUUGUCAGGGAAGAAAUCCUUUGGGCUAAUACCCUAGGGGGAUGACGGUACCUGAAGAAUAAGCACCGGCUAACUACGUGCCAGCAGCCGCGGUAAUACGUAGGGUGCAAGCGUUAAUCGGAAUUACUGGGCGUAAAGCGUGCGCAGGCGGUUGUGUAAGACAGGUGUGAAAUCCCCGGGCUUAACCUGGGAAUUGCAUUUGUGACUGCACGACUAGAGUGUGUCAGAGGGGGGUGGAAUUCCACGUGUAGCAGUGAAAUGCGUAGAUAUGUGGAGGAACACCAAUGGCGAAGGCAGCCCCCUGGGAUAACACUGACGCUCAUGCACGAAAGCGUGGGGAGCAAACAGGAUUAGAUACCCUGGUAGUCCACGCCCUAAACGAUGUCAACUAGUUGUUGGGGAUUUACUUCCUUGGUAACGUAGCUAACGCGUGAAGUUGACCGCCUGGGGAGUACGGCCGCAAGGUUAAAACUCAAAGGAAUUGACGGGGACCCGCACAAGCGGUGGAUGAUGUGGAUUAAUUCGAUGCAACGCGAAAAACCUUACCUACCCUUGACAUGGCAGGAACUUUCCAGAGAUGGAUUGGUGCUCGAAAGAGAACCUGCACACAGGUGCUGCAUGGCUGUCGUCAGCUCGUGUCGUGAGAUGUUGGGUUAAGUCCCGCAACGAGCGCAACCCUUGUCAUUAGUUGCUACAUUCAGUUGGGCACUCUAAUGAGACUGCCGGUGACAAACCGGAGGAAGGUGGGGAUGACGUCAAGUCCUCAUGGCCCUUAUAGGUGGGGCUACACACGUCAUACAAUGGCUGGUACAAAGGGUUGCCAACCCGCGAGGGGGAGCUAAUCCCAUAAAACCAGUCGUAGUCCGGAUCGCAGUCUGCAACUCGACUGCGUGAAGUCGGAAUCGCUAGUAAUCGUGGAUCAGAAUGUCACGGUGAAUACGUUCCCGGGUCUUGUACACACCGCCCGUCACACCAUGGGAGCGGGUUCUGCCAGAAGUAGUUAGCUUAACCGCAAGGAGGGCGAUUACCACGGCAGGGUUCGUG